UGGGGAAUUUUCCGCAAUGGGCGAAAGCCUGACGGAGCAACGCCGCGUGGGUGAAGAAGGCCUUCGGGUUGUAAAGCCCUGUCUUAUGGGAAGAAGAAAGUGACGGUACCAUAGGAGGAAGCCACGGCUAACUACGUGCCAGCAGCCGCGGUAAUACGUAGGUGGCAAGCGUUGUCCGGAAUCACUGGGCGUAAAGGGCGCGCAGGCGGUUUUUUAAGUCAGAUGUGAAAACUUUCGGCUUAACCGGGAGACGGCAUUUGAUACUGGAAGACUUGAGUGCAGGAGAGGGCAGUGGAAUUCCUAGUGUAGCGGUGAAAUGCGUAGAUAUUAGGAGGAACACCAGUGGCGAAGGCGGCUGCCUGGACUGUAACUGACGCUGAGGCGCGAAAGCGUGGGGAGCGAACAGG
This 407-nucleotide ribosomal RNA is filed under the name uncultured prokaryote. RNAcentral's name for it is "bacterial SSU rRNA". It matches the Rfam family "Bacterial small subunit ribosomal RNA", at positions 355 to 776 of the family's 1533-position model. RNAcentral also lists the same sequence under 1 other name. The record is from RNAcentral.